GCCGGGCGUGGUGGCGCGCGCCUGUAGUCUCAGCUACUCGGGAGGCUGAGGUGGGAGGAUCGCUUGAGUCCAGGAGUUCUGGGCUGCAGUGCGCUAUGCCGAUCGGGUGUCCGCACUAAGUUCGGCAUCAAUAUGGUGACCUCCCGGGAGCGGGGGACCACCAGGUUGCCUAAGGAGGGGUGAACCGGCCCAGGUCGGAAACGGAGCAGGUCAAAACUCCCGUGCUGAUCAGUAGUGGGAUCGCGCCUGUGAAUAGCCACUGUACUCCAGCCUGGGCAAUAUAGUGAGACCCCGUCUCUU
RNAcentral lists this signal recognition particle RNA (300 nucleotides) under Fukomys damarensis (Damara mole-rat). RNAcentral describes it as "Metazoan signal recognition particle RNA". It matches the Rfam family "Metazoan signal recognition particle RNA". From Rfam's summary of the family: The signal recognition particle (SRP) is a universally conserved ribonucleoprotein. It is involved in the co-translational targeting of proteins to membranes. The record is from Rfam by way of RNAcentral. Lineage: Eukaryota; Metazoa; Chordata; Mammalia; Rodentia; Bathyergidae.